CAGUCGAACGGAGUUAUCAUUUUUGAAGCGAUUAGCUUGCUAAGAGUGGAACAGUUGAUAACUUAGUGGCGGACGGGUGAGUAACGCGUGGGUAACCUGCCUUACACAGGGGGAUAACACUUAGAAAUAGGUGCUAAUACCGCAUAAGCGCACAGUCCCGCAUGGGACAGAGUGAAAAACAUUAGUGGUGUAAGAUGGACCCGCGUCUGAUUAGCUUGUUGGCGGAGUAACGGCCCACCAAGGCGACGAUCAGUAGCCGGCCUGAGAGGGUGGACGGCCACAUUGGGACUGAGACACGGCCCAAACUCCUACGGGAGGCAGCAGUGGGGGAUAUUGGACAAUGGGGGAAACCCUGAUCCAGCGACGCCGCGUGAGUGAAGAAGUAUUUCGGUAUGUAAAGCUCUAUCAGCAGGGAAGAAAGAAAUGACGGUACCUGAGUAAGAAGCCCCGGCUAACUACGUGCCAGCAGCCGCGGUAAUACGUAGGGGGCAAGCGUUAUCCGGAAUUACUGGGUGUAAAGGGAGCGUAGACGGUAAUGCAAGUCUGGAGUGAAAGGCGGGGGCCCAACCCCCGGACUGCUCUGGAAACUGUGUAACUGGAGUGCAGGAGAGGCAGGCGGAAUUCCUAGUGUAGCGGUGAAAUGCGUAGAUAUUAGGAGGAACACCAGUGGCGAAGGCGGCCUGCUGGACUGUAACUGACGUUGAGGCUCGAAAGCGUGGGGAGCAAACAGGAUUAGAUACCCUGGUAGUCCACGCCGUAAACGAUGAUUACUAGGUGUGGGUGGGUAUGGACCCAUCGGUGCCGCAGCAAACGCA
This 815-nucleotide ribosomal RNA is filed under the name uncultured bacterium. RNAcentral describes it as "bacterial SSU rRNA". It matches the Rfam family "Bacterial small subunit ribosomal RNA", at positions 59 to 859 of the family's 1533-position model. The record is from RNAcentral.